Molecule: transfer RNA, 67 nt
Filed under: Marmota monax (woodchuck)
Lineage: Eukaryota; Metazoa; Chordata; Mammalia; Rodentia; Sciuridae
Description: tRNA.Ala
Rfam family: tRNA (bases 6-62)
About the family: Transfer RNA (tRNA) molecules are approximately 80 nucleotides in length. Their secondary structure includes four short double-helical elements and three loops (D, anti-codon, and T loops).
Source: RNAcentral
GGAUAUAGCUCAGUUGGUAAAGUGCUUGCCUUGCAUGCACAAGGCCUGGGUUCAAUCCCCAGCACCA